RNAcentral lists this unclassified non-coding RNA (404 nucleotides) under soil metagenome. RNAcentral describes it as "partial contains 5.8S ribosomal RNA, internal transcribed spacer 2, and large subunit ribosomal RNA". The stretch from base 1 to 122 matches the Rfam family "5.8S ribosomal RNA", at positions 35 to 154 of the family's 154-position model. The record is from RNAcentral.
GAUGAAGAACGCAGCGAAAUGCGAUACUUGGUGUGAAUUGCAGAAUCCCGUGAACCAUCGAGUUUUUGAACGCAAGUUGCGCCCGAAGCCUUUUGGCCGAGGGCACGUCUGCCUGGGCGUCACGCAUCGCGUCGCCCCCCACAAUUCUCCGUAAAGGGAACAUGUGUUUUGGGGGCGGAUAUUGGUCUCCCGUGCUCAUGGCGUGGUUGGCCGAAAUAGGAGUCCUUUCGAUGGACGCACGAACUAGUGGUGGUCGUAAAAACCCUCGUCUUUUGUUUCGUGCUGUUGCUCGCAAGGUAAACUCUUUAAAAACCCCAAUGUGUCGUCUCUUGACGACGCUUCGACCGCGACCCCAGGUCAGGCGGGACUACCCGCUGAGUUUAAGCAUAUCAAUAAGCGGAGGA